Molecule: long non-coding RNA, 2420 nt
Organism: Oncorhynchus mykiss (rainbow trout)
Lineage: Eukaryota; Metazoa; Chordata; Actinopteri; Salmoniformes; Salmonidae
Source: Ensembl
AUGCUCCCAAAGGUUGACAGGGAAAGGGUGGCCAACUUCAUGUGCCACAACAUCCAGACGGCAGACAAAUAUUAUGCCAUGAAUUUAAAUCCAACCCAAGCAAAUGAAACCAGGGCACUCUUUGAGGCUGCACUGAAGGGGGAAGAUAACACAGUCGCCGCAGAGAACCAGCCCUCCACCUCAGGAGAAAGAAAGCAGAAGGUGAGAGAGGAUGCCUCCCUCUCCGACGGGAGCACCACCCCUGAAGAGACCAAGGUGAUGUACCAGGAGUCUGGCACGUCCGCCGGUGACUCGGAAGAGGAGGAAGAGGAUGAAGAUGAGGAACAGAUGGCCAGACAACUUCCAGUAAGAUCAGCUAUUCUGACAGGACACAUUGUGGAGAUGGAACUUACCCCAAAGAGGAAGCGGAGCAUCUGCACACGCCGCAUGGAGGUCGCCAUCAGCCCCAUGCUAGUCUCACCCCUCAAAGUGAGGCUCAAGUCGCCCCCCCACCAGUCCCUCAUUGUCACAUUAAAAGGGAUGCAACAACUAAACUCAAAUAAAGUCAGACUAAAAAAUGCCAUUGCCUCAAGGAGGUUAAAGCUGCAGGAGAAGGUGCAAAAGAGAGGAGGGGACCCCUGAUGCAGCUCGAAGGAAGGGGAGCCGACCAACAACAAGACUUCCUCUUCCAAAUAGUCAUGUAGAUUGUUUUAGACUCUCACAUUUAUACUGUUCUGAUUUUGUUUGGUUUGAUUUUCAAUUUUGGUGUGCUUGUUUACAUUUUAGAAGUGUAAAAUGUGUGUAAUUUAGUCUAACUGUCUGUUCAAUUUUCUAUUUUGGUGUGAUUCUUUAUAAUGUAAAGGUUUGUUCUGUUUUAUUAAAUAACUAGUUUAGUAAUUAUUUGUGUUGUGCUUUCUUUAAGGUUAUAUUCUAACUGUCUGUUCAAUUUUCUAUUUUGGUGUGAUUCUUUAUAAUGUAAAGGUUUGUUCUGUUUUAUUAAAUAACUAGUUGAGUAAUUAUUUGUGUUGUGCUUUCUUUAAGGUUUAUAUUUAGUUUGUCACUUAAUUUGUAAGUGUUAAACAUUCACUGUCUUGUGUUGUUGUCUGUGAAGGUAGGAACAAAUAUUUAGGCAUUAUUGGCAUGGGAAUCAUAUGUUUACAUUGGCAAAGCAAAUUAAGUAGAUAAUAAACAAAAGUGAAAUAAACAAUAAAGUCCUGCUGUAGACUGUACUACUGCUGUUCAGGAAGCACAAUUUGAACUAGAAACUUACACAGACAGGCUGAAAUAAACACUAAAAAAUAACAAAUGGCAUCACCGUAAUAUCCCGCUUGACCGUGGCUCGCUCGGUCUGAGCGCAGCGACCAUGAGAAAAGUAAGCCCAAAAUGAAGCCUGCCCCACAACGUCAUUUGCUUUUGGGUGACAGUGAGAGAACCGUUAGGUUUAGAAGGACAAUUCAACCACAGGAAUGUUCCUAACGUCCUUCCGAUCCAUGCAAGCCUUACCUUGACCGUGUGGCAUCAACCCUUAAAAAUAAAACAGGGUUUUUUGAUCUCACAGAUUACAAUGACAUCUCUCCCCAUAGGAAUACAUUGACAGCUCCCCUAAAUUCAACCUGGAGCCUAUGUGGGUUAAUAAUGCCUUAUGAACCUGUCUUCAAUGCCAAUCCAUCAGGCCACUAUGAGGUCUACCUGUGUCGAUUCUAAGCUUCCUGGAGCAACCGGAAGUGGUUAAAUUCACCCAAAAUGUAUUUUGAUGUACAUAACCUGCAAAUGUGAAAAUGACUGCAUUCAACCCUGGGUAGAUCAGUCAAUUCUUAACAUAAAGACUUUAGGAUUCUCAGGAUUCUGUAAGAGAAUACCCAAAGCAAGAUAUUUGUUUACCUAUAGCUUCCUGUGCCAACCGGAAGUGCCUUUAAUUGGUGUCUCAGGGGCUUCUCCUUAGGAGGGAUGGGGACACCACCACGGGACAGACCCCACACUCAUCGCUAGAGAUCGAACUUCAGACUCCCUUCAAAACCACUGAACCCCUCAACACACCGAAAGAGAUUACGGUGCACACCCUUAGAGGGAGCCGGAACAGGAUAACUCCCUCCACCAUCACAGAGACACAGAGGAGGAGGAACUAUCCAACACCCAGGGAGAGAGAACAAGUGACGUCAGUCGAACACAGUCAGAAAGAGGAGGUGGAAGAGGCGUUAGAUAGAGGAGGAUAUUACCCCAGAGGCCAUUCCUCCUGUUCAUGUGAGCAAGAAAGAGCAGAAGGCUUCUGAUCAGCCAAAUGGCAGGCAGAGGGAGAGGUCAUAGUGAUUCACACCCACAGAGAGAAAGACAACCCACACAACCUCUUGGUUGAGAUGAACCACACAGGUAGAGGCAGAGGGCCUUCAGGGCUAGCCAGUCAGCCUGCCUGCUCUGAUCCUCAAGUCAAUUGUAUAUAAAUU